UACGUAGGGUGCGAGCGUUAAUCGGAAUUACUGGGCGUAAAGCGUGCGCAGGCGGCGCGUUAAGACAGGUGUGAAAGCCCCGGGCUUAACCUGGGAAUGGCAUUGGUGACUGCACAGCUAGAGUGUGUCAGAGGGGGGUAGAAUUCCACGUGUAGCAGUGAAAUGCGUAGAGAUGUGGAGGAAUACCGAUGGCGAAGGCAGCCCCCUGGGAUAACACUGACGCUCAUGCACGAAAGCGUGGGGAGCAAACAGG
This 253-nucleotide ribosomal RNA is filed under the name uncultured bacterium. RNAcentral describes it as "partial 16S ribosomal RNA". It matches the Rfam family "Bacterial small subunit ribosomal RNA", at positions 524 to 776 of the family's 1533-position model. The record is from RNAcentral.